RNAcentral lists this ribosomal RNA (495 nucleotides) under uncultured bacterium. RNAcentral describes it as "partial 16S ribosomal RNA". It matches the Rfam family "Bacterial small subunit ribosomal RNA", at positions 28 to 507 of the family's 1533-position model. The record is from RNAcentral.
GACGAACGCUGGCGGCGUGCCUAAUACAUGCAAGUAGAACGCUGAAGGAGGAGCUUGCUUCUCUGGAUGAGUUGCGAACGGGUGAGUAACGCGUAGGUAACCUGCCUGGUAGCGGGGGAUAACUAUUGGAAACGAUAGCUAAUACCGCAUAAGAGUAGAUGUUGCAUGACAUUUGCUUAAAAGGUGCAAUUGCAUCACUACCAGAUGGACCUGCGUUGUAUUAGCUAGUUGGUGGGGUAACGGCUUACCAAGGCGACGAUACAUAGCCGACCUGAGAGGGGGCUCGGCCACACUGGGACUGAGACACGGCCCAGACUCCUACGGGAGGCAGCAGUAGGGAAUCUUCGGCAAUGGACGGAAGUCUGACCGAGCAACGCCGCGUGAGUGAAGAAGGUUUUCGGAUCGUAAAGCUCUGUUGUAAGAGAAGAACGAGUGUGAGAGUGGAAAGUUCACACUGUGACGGUAUCUUACCAGAAAGGGACGGCUAACUACGUG